This 836-nucleotide long non-coding RNA is filed under the name Oryctolagus cuniculus (rabbit). RNAcentral's name for it is "lncRNA (ENSOCUG00000036485.1)". Lineage: Eukaryota; Metazoa; Chordata; Mammalia; Lagomorpha; Leporidae. The record is from RNAcentral.
AUGCAUUUCCCAAGGCACCUGGGCCGGGGCGCCGUGGGAGCACUGAGCGCUCCGGCAGCGCGCUGGCAGCUCCCGCACCUUCCCUUGGCAUCGCCACGAUUAUUUGGAAACAUAAUAACAGCACCCUGGGAGCAAAGAAGGACAGCGACAGAGAUUUCCAGGCUCAGAGGGGACGGGAGCUUCCCACCAUCACGGGCGAGCCCUGGCUGCCCACGCAGGGACCGUGAGGCCAGGCGUUUGAAGGCGUUCGCUGAGCUGCACGGCGGCGUGCAAACUCCUGUCUUCCUUUCCAUCGGCUGUCACUCUCCCUGUCAAUCCGCUCACGGCGAGCUAAAACACAGAAGGGGCCGUUCAGUCCAGGAUUCCAGACCUGCCUCCCGGCAGCUCAUGGCCCUUUCCAGGUGGCCCUGUUUGUAAGUGGCUUUGUCUCACCCUGGCUCCUGGACAGCACUCCAUGGGCUCCCUGGGCCUGUGAGCAGCACGGCACGGGGGGCAUGGUCCUCCCGCCUGCCUGCAGCCUGGCCCGUGCCCCUGAGUGCCCAUGAGCGGUGUCCUCGCCGGCCGCCACCCGGAACCACUCCAGACUCUGCGGCUGAGCCUCUGUGUGCACAGGCGAGCUCCCUCCUCCGCCGGAGAUGCUGCAGCACCAGAAACGUCCUGGUGUCAACCUGAUCCCACACCUACCUACGCGCCAGGUCACAGUCGAAACACAGGUGCACCGAAUGUAGCCUAAAGAUCCCCUUCAGGCCCCGGGUACAAGGUGCGUGUGGAACGUGAGUGGAUUUGGUCUUCAUGCUCAAGCCCCAUCCCCAACACAGGUGUCUCGUGCACCUGCA